This 102-nucleotide unclassified non-coding RNA is filed under the name Aristaeella lactis. RNAcentral describes it as "Gut-1 RNA". The record is from RNAcentral. Lineage: Bacteria; Bacillati; Bacillota; Clostridia; Eubacteriales; Aristaeellaceae.
AAAGUAAAUAACCCUUACGGGUUAAAUGAAAUAUUUCAAAGCAACGGUGUUGCUUUGAAAUGUGAAAUAUCGGCCGAUGGAGCGGCCGAUGUGAAAUAUGCC